Molecule: long non-coding RNA, 1652 nt
Organism: Quercus robur (English oak)
Lineage: Eukaryota; Viridiplantae; Streptophyta; Magnoliopsida; Fagales; Fagaceae
Exons: 2
Source: RefSeq, a predicted model, not a curated record
UUUUCUCCACCACACAUGUAUACCCAUAUAUCCCAUCCCCUCCCUUUUUGUUUUCUCUACUUUCCACUUUCCAGAACCUCCCUCUGGCUUUCUUUCUUUCUCUAGUUCUCUUUCUCAACUUUUUUUUUUCAUCUUCUUUCUCCGGUUCUCUUUCUCAACUUUUUUUUUUCAUUGUAAUAAGAAUCAGAGAAAUAGGUAAAGAGAGAAAGAACAGAUGGGUUAGAUGGCUCCGCUCUGCCGCCGCCGCUCGUCGUCCUCUGCCGCUGCCGCUCGUCUUCCUCCCAACACAGCCCAGAUGCAUCAUGUCUAGGAAGACUAGAGCUAAUAGGAAAUCCACCUCUACUUCUUCCUCCACCUUUGAUAGUGAGAGGUUUUGAGUGAGAAAAACUAGGAAGCUUAUGAGAAGCUGAACCUUCGUAGGAACAUUUGGGCUGAGAGAAAGGUUCUGUUAGAUGAACUAGAUGGUGAGAUUAGGAGAAACUUUGAUCGUCGGGACUAGUUACCCUUGUUGGAUGUUGAUCAUCCUCUUCUGGCUACCUUGAUCAGAGAGUUCUAUUCGAACCUCUCUGUCCACUCCUAUGAUUCCAACACUCUUGUGAGAAGUUGGAUACGGGGUGAUGAGUACACUAUUACUCCUUCAGUAGUGGCUGCUGCUCUUGGGGUGCCAUUGGUCCAGCAUCUUGUUUAUCCUUACGAUGAGUUUCCGCCCCUUGAUGACAUUAUGUCAUUUAUUACUGGUACUACUAUCUAGUAGGGUUUCGAUCCUCGGAUCACCUCUCACGAGCUAGCUAAGAUUCAUUAUCUUUUCUUUCAGAUUUCUUGCCAUUCCAUCUAGCCUAUCUCUCAUCUGCACACCAUUCCUUUGGAGAGAUGUGCGUUUUUGUAUGCCUUUAUUUCUGAUGCUCCUAUAAGCUUUUCUCAUCUUUUUAUUCAUUCUUUGAUUGAAGUUCAUAGGAGUAGUUCUACUGCUCAUGCUCUUUUCUUUCUCAUUUUUAUUCAUUGGAUUCUUUUGCAUCUAGGAUUAGAUGAGUUUCCUGCGUCUGAGCUUGUUCAUAUCAUUGCCCCUAUCGAUGCCACCUUUUUUAGGUAGAGGGUUGCUUAGAUGAGAGCAAGCUCUAAAUGCCCUAGGGUUGAGUCUUCUGGUAUCACACCUCCUCCUCCCUCUUUUACAGGUGAUACUACGGCUGAGUAGUCUGUUGAUCUUGCUGCUGUUACUGUUCCUCCACCUUCUACCUUGAAUGAUUCAGACAUUCGACGUAUGUUGUAGACUAUCAUGACCGUUCAAGUGGCUCAUGGUCAGCUUUUGGUGGACAUGCUUGAUGAGUUUCGUGCCUUGCGAGCAGAUUUGGAGCAUUUGAGAUGGUCGCCUCCACCACCUCUUUUUGAUGAUGAGUGAUUGCCCUUUGGCAAUUAAUUAGAAAAAAGGGGGAGUACAUAUGUAGAUGAGUUUUUGUAGUUAGGGGGAGAUUUUUGAUGUUUUGGAGCUAUGGAGCUUUUAGAUUGUAUCUAGGUGUUUCAUUCUAUAUUUACAUUUUUGGCUCAUGAUGUAUUCUUUGUUUUUGAUUGGGUUGUCCAUGAUAGGGGGAGAUACAUUGAUGAUAUAUGUUUCUUGUUUCACAUUGUUUAUUGAUUUAUAUUUAUGAGGUUAUUCA